ACUCUUUCUUAAUUUUGGUGUUUCACCGAGACUCGAACCUACGUUCUCUCUGUGAAUUCCGAAUGGUAGUCACGUACCAACCCAUUCGGCUACGGCGGCCGGCGUAUGUGAUUCUUAAGAUACAAAUCGUGCCCUUGUUGUCAGCAUACAAAUAACAUAGUCGCGGCGCAAAACGCGUGAAGAAUACGAGGUGUGUUCAAAAUGUAUCGCGAAUUUUGAAUUUCCGCAGGUUACGUAUAUUCGAGUUUCGAUUUUUUGUGGCGAUAUGUUGAUACUCAUGUCUCUCACUCAUGUCGACGAGUUCGACCAUUUUGAAUGUUCAGUUAAUUGUUGACAGCUGCUUUGCUUGCACGUGUUUCGGUUCGUCUUCGAUUUUUAACUAUUCAAAAAGAUGGAUCAAAGAACCUGUAUCAAAUUUUUGUGAAAAACGAGAUUAAGUGCGCGAAUGCAUUCCGAAUGUUGACUGUGUCAUACGAAGAAGCUACUUUGAACCAAAGCAACGUUUAUCGGUGGUACAAAAUGUUCUCAGAAGGCCGAGAAGAUGUGAACGACGAAAAGCGUACCGGACGCCCGAGCACUUCAACAACAUACGAAAAAAUUGAUGAAGUGAAGAAAAUGGUAUUGGCCAAUCGUCGAAUCACCGUUAGAGAAGUUGCUGAGGACCUAGACAGAUCGAUUGGCUUGUGCCACUCGAUUUUUUUCAAUGAUUUGGGCAUGAGACGGGUCGCCGCAAAAUUCGUACCAAAACUGCUCAAUUUCGACCAAAAGCAGCAUCACAUGAACAUUGCUAAUGAGAUACUGGACUCUGUCCACGACGACCCAAAUUUGCUCCAGAGGGUGACGAAUCGUGGGUUUAUGGUUAUGACGUGGAAACCAAAGCUCAAUCAUCUCAAUAGAAGCUGCCGCACGAACCAAGACCGAAAAAAGCGCGCCAAGCUCGGUCGAAUGUAAAAGUUUUGCUUACCGUUUUCUUCGAUUGCCGGGGCGUUGUACGUCAUGAGUUUUUGCCGCAGGGUGAAACGAUCAAUAAGGAAUAUUGCCUGCAAGUUAUGCCCAAUUUGCGCGAAGCAGUCCGCCAGAAACGCCCGGAUUUGCGGAAGAACAAAAAUUGGCUCUAGCAUCACGAUAACGCCCUUGCUCACACAUCGUUGCUUGUGCGCAACUUUUUGGGCAAAAACAACACACUAAUGAUGCCAGAGCCACCGUAUUCCCCAGAUUUAGCCCCCUGUGACUUUUUCUUGUUCCCGAAACUGAAGAGGCCCAUGAAAGGACGGCGCUACGCUACGAUUGACGAGAUAAAGACGGCAUCGAAGAAGGAGCUGAACAAGAUAAAAAAAAUGAUUUUUUGAAGUGCUUUGAAGAUUGGAAAAAACGUUGGUUCAAGUGCAUAAUACCUCAUGGCGAUUACUUACGAUAUUAAUGAAUAAAUAAAUAAUUUUUGAAAAAACAGAAAAUUCGCGAUACUUUUUGAGCACACUUCGUAUAACAGGCUGACUUCGUAAAUGCAUAUUGCAAAGCAUAAGCUGCGAUUUAUUGCGCAAUCUAUGCAAAACAAAAAUGUUUUAUAUCACUGCUUUGCAAACGCAUGCAAUGACUAUUACAGAUAUUUACGAACACAGCAAUGCAAAGCAUCAGUUUGAGAACUGUCAAAGUUGUAAUAAUGACCGCGGUCGUAAAUUAUUUAUUAAUAAAUGCAAUUGAAUUGGCUGAGCUAACUUCUUCCAAUAUUAAUACGACGAGAAAAAUUUUGGAGAAGAAAAAGGAGGCGUAUGUUAUGUAUACAACAUAUUAAUUAUAGGAGAAGCGUAAAGAUGAAAAGCUUUUGCAAGUCUGUUUCCAUGAUGGAUGAUCCAUUUUCGAAUGAGGCGGAAUACUUUUAAGAAAUUGCAAAGCAUGAUCGAGUCUUAUUGGAUAUGGCAUACAAACUGACGUAGAAUCAUUCCACUCUAUAACGCCUUAUAUAUAACUAUUUGGAAGCUUAGCAAGAACUCAUCAUUUCGUGAUAUCAGCAAUCGAUUUGGAGUGGCUAUAAGUACUUCAUAUAAGGUGUUCAUACUGACAAUUAAAUGUAUUUGCCGAUUGAAGAGCACGGUUAUUAAGUUCUCAAAUACACCUCACGCCCAAAAAAUUAUAAGAACAAUUUUGAACAAGUCGCCGAAAUCCAUUUCCAUUGGUGGUGGGUUGCGUUGAUGGUACCCACGUCCAGAUAUCUCAACCUGUUAGACAUGCAGUUAGUUAUUAUAAUCGUAAAGCGACCUACUCCAUUAUCAUACAAGUUAUCCUGACAGAUACCAUGACAAUGGGGUUUUUACCAUCUAUCUCCAGUGCUACCAAUCACAUUGUGUCAUAUCAUAUGGUGUUAGAAAGGUGACACUUUAAAAUCAUUGAACCAAAAAAAAAAAAUUAAUUCGGAGAAGUUGAAAAAAGGUAUAGCUGUUCAAAAAUGAGUGAAAAUAAUGAAGAAAUUCGCUAUAUUUUAAAAUUUUUGUAUAAAAAAACGAAGAAUGCCGCGCAAGCCACCAAUGAAAUUUGUGAAGUUUACGGAGACGAUGCUGUAUCAGUUCGUGUAGCACAACAAUGGUUCGCUCGCUUCCGUUCUGGAAAUUUCGAUGUGAAAGGUGCACCUCGCUCCGGUCGACCUAUCGUUGAAAAAGUCGAUGAAAUUAUGGAAAAAAUUGACCAGGACCGUCACAUAAGCUGCCAUGACAUCGCCAAGGCACUAAACGUUCAUUAUCAAACGGUUUUCAACCAUUUAAAAAAGGCUGGUUACAAAAAGAAGCUCGAUGUUUGGGUACCACAUGAAUUGUCUGUGAAAAAUUUAAUGGACCGAAUUAACAUCUACGAUUCUUUGCUGAAACGAAAUGAAAUCGACCCAUUUCUGAAGCGAAUGGUAACAGGAGACGAAAAGUGGAUCAAAUACGACAAUAAUGUGUGAAAAAGAUCAUGGUGCAUUGGCUGGAGUUGGCUUCAAGGGAAGCCUGUGAAAAUUACUUUUCGCAGUUUAUCGCCGAGAAACCACAAAAGUUUUACACUGAUGGAAUAAUGUCUCUAGAAGAAAAAAGGCAAAAGGCGGUCGACCAAAAUGGUUAUUUGGUUUAAUAAAAUUCAUUAGAAAUAUAAAAAAAAAUUAGUUGAAGUUUGAUUAGAAAUACGAAAAGACUUUUUCGACUACCAAUACUUCAUAAUGUUAUUAUAAUAAACUAAGGAAUAGAAGGCGAAAUCAAUGAAGGCCUACACGAUGAUAGCGAAAAUAAUAACUCACAAGAAGCUAUGUAUCAGUCCAGACAGAGAAGAGAAGCUGAUUUUAAAAGGGAUCAUACUUUUUUCCGCAUAAAUUUUUAAAAGUAAAAAACGAAAUAAUAAAAGUUAAAAAACUAGAAACAAACAUAUGUAUAUAUUUUUCUUAAGACUUCAUUUCAAUAUGUAUUUACAGUACUAGAAAAUAGGCAUGCGGUUAACAGCUCUUACGAUUUUUGAUUUGAUUAUUUUAUGUUUGUUACGUCUUUAUAAAAUUCGACGCAAUAAUGUGAAAAAUAUAAUUAAAAAGUUCAAACGUUUUUGAAAAAACCGGUAUGAAUAAAGGGGUUAAAUUUUAGUAUAGUAGUAUUUUUUAUCGAAUUUAACUAAAGUAAUAAUAGUCACAAAACUAAAAAAAUAACAAGUUUUCUAUAUGAAAGUUAAAUUGUUUAAGAUAGUAGAAGGAACUUUUUUUAAGCAAUUUGACAGACUUUUAAAAAGAAUAAACACACAAUUAAUGCAAUUGCGAACAAAUUUUUAA
Anastrepha ludens (Mexican fruit fly) is the source of this 3778-nucleotide long non-coding RNA. RefSeq lists it as uncharacterized. The record is from RefSeq and is a predicted model, not a curated record. The transcript has 3 exons. NCBI's taxonomy places the organism in Eukaryota, Metazoa, Arthropoda, Insecta, Diptera, Tephritidae.